UGUUUCCUGAGGUGUUAGCCAGUUCAUUCAUGUCCCUGGCCGAUGCUUUAAACCAAGGAAGCUGACACGCUGCUAUUGUGCAAGCUCAGCGCGUACUGAGAAGCCUACGGUGGCGAAGAGGCUUCCGCCCUGAACUUUUCGGUUCACGGGCGAACAAUGAACAGCGGCACUUUGGGAAACAC
This 182-nucleotide non-coding RNA is filed under the name Paralteromonas sediminis. RNAcentral describes it as "Alteromonas sediminis 6S / SsrS RNA". It matches the Rfam family "6S / SsrS RNA". From Rfam's summary of the family: E. coli 6S RNA was the first non coding RNA to be sequenced, but its function was unknown until recently. Lineage: Bacteria; Pseudomonadati; Pseudomonadota; Gammaproteobacteria; Alteromonadales; Alteromonadaceae. The record is from Rfam by way of RNAcentral.